RNAcentral lists this ribosomal RNA (497 nucleotides) under uncultured bacterium. RNAcentral describes it as "partial 16S ribosomal RNA". It matches the Rfam family "Bacterial small subunit ribosomal RNA", at positions 28 to 507 of the family's 1533-position model. The record is from RNAcentral.
GAUGAACGCUGGCGGCGUGCCUAAUACAUGCAAGUCGAGCGAACGGACGAGAAGCUUGCUUCUCUGAUGUUAGCGGCGGACGGGUGAGUAACACGUGGAUAACCUACCUAUAAGACUGGGAUAACUUCGGGAAACCGGACCUAAUACCGGAUAAUAUUUUGAGCCGCAUGGUUCAAAAGUGAAAGACGGUCUUGCUGUCACUUAUAGAUGGAUCCGCGCUGCAUUAGCUAGUUGGUAAGGUAACGGCUUACCAAGGCAACGAUGCAUAGCCGACCUGAGAGGGUGAUCGGCCACACUGGAACUGAGACACGGUCCAGACUCCUACGGGAGGCAGCAGUAGGGAAUCUUCCGCAAUGGGCGAAAGCCUGACGGAGCAACGCCGCGUGAGUGAUGAAGGUCUUCGGAUCGUAAAACUCUGUUAUUAGGGAAGAACAUAUGUGUAAGUAACUGUGCACAUCUUGACGGUACCUAAUCAGAAAGCCACGGCUAACUACGUG